UACGUAGGGUGCAAGCGUUGUCCGGAAUUAUUGGGCGUAAAGAGCUUGUAGGCGGUUUGUCGCGUCUGCUGUGAAAACUCGGGGCUUAACUCCGGGCCUGCAGUGGGUACGGGCAGACUAGAGUGCGGUAGGGGAGACUGGAAUUCCUGGUGUAGCGGUGAAAUGCGCAGAUAUCAGGAGGAACACCGGUGGCGAAGGCGGGUCUCUGGGCAUUAACUGACGCUGAGGAGCGAAAGCAUGGGGAGCGAACAGG
RNAcentral lists this ribosomal RNA (253 nucleotides) under uncultured bacterium. Its description in RNAcentral is "partial 16S ribosomal RNA". It matches the Rfam family "Bacterial small subunit ribosomal RNA", at positions 524 to 776 of the family's 1533-position model. The record is from RNAcentral.